CUGCCAAGUGGCUACCAAAGCUCUGUCCGUGUAACUCCAGGCAUAGGGAACUUACUGCCGAUGAUGGAGUACACACACUAUUUUGGAUCACUUUUAGUGUCCUGCUGAUGACAUUAUUAAGGUGUGGGCGGCACCUUCCUUCCCUACAGGGAAGCUCUUGCAACUCUUGAGGAGUUGGAAAAAAAACCACAAGGUCAAGGAACUGGUAAGCAAGCUGAUACAGCCUGCUGGGAUACAGGACAGCUGGCAUCAGAAGGCCCAGCUAGAAGAAACAAGAGACAGAAUUAACUACAAAGCGAUGGCUGUUCUCAAACAAACAAGAAAACAACAGCAAAGCAACCAUCUGGGUUUCCCAGGAUGUUCAGGCUCUGUGACUAAUUAAAGUGGUUCCUCUGCCUAGAUGAGGUCGGAUGCCGCAUCUCCUUCCCACAUCCAAGAGCUAACAUGAGGAUUACUCUGCUCACCACCAGCCCUUGUGAGGGGCAGUGGCCUAAAGUUUAAACACCGAUGUAGGAGAAGGAAAAAGAAAAGAAACACAAGUUUUGGAUGGAGGUUGGGAGACAAGAGCAUUCAGAGAAAACCAAUGCCUGCCAUAUGGAUUCUGUUGGUUACAUGAGCCAAGUGUAACCUCAUGGACCAAAUCCAGUCUGAGUAGAAGGACGAGGGGGAGGAGAAUGUUGAUGACGGUGAUGGCUUCUCUGCAUUGUGCAAAAGAGAGAUGAUAUUUUUUUUUAUUAAAAUUUUUUUUUACACUUUAUUUUUGAGAGAGAGAGAGAGAGACAAAGCACAAGUGGGGGAGGGGCAGAGAGAGAGAGAGAGAGAGAGAGAGAGAGAGAGAGAGAGAGUCCAAAGCAGGCUCCAGGCUCUGAGCUGUCAGCACAGAGCCCAAUGUGGGGCUCGAACUCACAAACCGUGAGAUCAUGACCUGAGCUGAAGUCGGACACUUAACCAACUGAGCCAACCAGGUGCUCUGAGAGAUGAUAUACUUUUUAGUGUUUAUUUUCGAGAGAGCAUGAGAGAGAGUAGGGAAGGGGGAGAGAGGGUGGGGUCAGAGGAUCCAAAGCAGGCUCUACACUGGCAGCACAGAGCCUGGUGAGGGGCUCGAAGUUACCAACCACGAGAUCAUGACCUGAGCCGAAGUCAGAUGCUCAACCAACUGAGCCACCCAGAUGCCCCAAGAGAGGUGACAGUUUUAAAAGGAGGCAUCUCAUGUAAAAUUUAGAUUUAUAGUAUCUCUUGAAAACCUGCAAGAUCUAGAAGCUUUGGCCCACAUUUCCUUGUACAAUCCCUAACGUCUGGGAAGGAUCUGCCUCCGCCACAGCUCAGAAGAAUCACACUCCAUUGGUGGAGAACCACCUCCACCAAUCUUUACCUGCUUCCUUAAAAGAAGCCAAAAGUCAAUCGCCACUUGCCGACCACUAAAACAGAACAAAACAGAAAGCAUACAACAGAGCGUUUCUGGGACAAUAUUAAUUGCACUUCCUGUCUUUGGAAUACUGACAGUGGUUACCUAACAAUAUGGAUUCAUGCAGGAUACUGAAACACUCAUCCUACCCCACUUCCUGGCCAAGGUGGGGGAGAGAGAGAGUUUUCUACAGUAUUCAAGGACCUUCCUCAUAUUCCUCACCCUCACUUUUCCAGAUUCAUCCUCUAAUACACACUGUCCCUCCUUCUAUAAAUCCCCUUUUUCCCCCUGUAAAUCAGUCUGGCAAGUUGCCUUGGCCACAUACUUUUAUAGAACCAAGCCUCUGUAAUAAUAUGGCCUGCUACACAGAACUCAUUCUUCCAUUCUUUCCUGCCUUCCUUCCUUUCUUCCUUCUUUCCUCCCAAUUCAACCUUGAUGGCCCGAUCAAAUCUUGCAUUUUCUGCGAUGCCUUCCCCAGGACCCCAGGCAGAAUGAACUACACCAUCACCCAUGUUCUAGAAUCACCUUAGCAAGGUGCAAUCAUUCUGUUAAGUGUGGCUACCCGUCUGGAAGGGAGGUUGGCUCAGGCAAAGCAGUCUGCCAUUCAUUCUUGUUCAGCCAGUGACUGUGAAGCAGUGACUAGACAGACAGAGUUCCCCACAAUGCUUCCUGGGACAAUGACUGGCUGAAACGGCUGCCUUUGGGGGGACAUGUGAGUAAAGCUGUGAGGGUACACGAGUCUCCAGACAACUGAGGGCUGCCUGUAUCUCUAAGGUUGUCUCAAGUGGCCCAGGGGCAUUCCUGGCACAGUAGCAAAAGCCUGAGUCUCAAAGUUGGAGAGGCUGGGCUGGGAUGUUGGUUAUGACACCCUUUUGAACAUGUGAUCUAGGAUGAGAUCCUCAGCCCCGAGCCCUCGUCUACUUGGGAGUAAAAUAAGGCAAUAUCUGUGCCUCCUCUCAGGCAGGCUGUUGCCUUGAAGUGACUGGCCAUGCACGGGCACUCCUGGCAGGUGGAAGGUGUACAAAAAGGUCCAAUGUAUUUUUUUUCCUUCAGAAGGUCUUUUGUAGACCCAUGUAAAACUAUUUUAUAAUCAUCUCUAUCCCAUGUCAAGCUUCCCUCCUCCAGGCCUCACAGGUACCCACAAUGGUGCUUCAGGUGGAGCUUUCUCUCACCUCACACGAUGGCUUGCAGAAAGGCCCCAUCCUUCAACAAGCAGCUACAGACCGGCUUCUCUGGCAGCCUCCCACCUUCUCCAGCACUCAUCAUGACCCACCCGUCCACAGCCCCAAAAGACCAGCGCUGAUUUGUCCCAGGACAGUAGAGACCUGGCUGGUCAUCCCACCCAGGUAAGGUCAAUUUUAUCUCCUCUACCUCAUCCUCGAUCAUUUUGGUUUCCUGUCUUUCUCACAGGACCGGGCAGAGAGCAGAGGCUCAGCAAGCACUGGAGAAUCACUAUGGUGACUACAGGACAAGAUGGAGAUUCAGGGAUGUUUUGUGCCUUGUCUGAGUUUAAACUGAAAAAUGUGUGUUUUGUCAGUUACCAAGAGCCAGUUUUCCCUUCCACGUGACCCUAGAAUCUUCUAGAUCAUCAAGAAUGACCACUCCAGGGCAACAACUGAACCACAGUGGAUAAACUCCACUCACUACCAGGCAUGCAUUCAAAUCCCAUCCAACGCAGGGGAGACUAGCAUGGAAGGGCUUCCCCUGGCAUGGACCUCAAAGAUAAAUCCCAUGAGAUGCUACAUAAUGCUUAUGGUCCUGAUGCUGGGGACAGACGGAUGAGUUCCCACCAGAGGAGAGGCUGGAAGCAUCGAGCUGAUUAUCAGGGGAGGGGGCAAGAUCUUCCAGUGGACAGCUUCCACAAACUGUGGGUAGGAUGUACUGAGCCAUCAACCAGCUGCUCCCCAACUUUUAGUGACUUCCUUUGUCUUCUCGGGGGCGGGGGGACCAGUCCAACCAGGAAGGUCACAUCCUGAGAUGAGAAGCUACAGCCCCUACCCAUCUUAUGGACUAGUUUUGGUUAAUACGUGUAAAUGAGCUGAUGCAGGGAAGUUCUUACAAGAAUGAUGAGUGCCUAGUAAGCAUGACUGCUCACCAUGGUACCACUAUUCCCUUGCUGUCUGACACUUUUCCUUGCCAUCUGGCUCUCCUCUUGCAAAAGCACCAGAUCAUGGUAGUUAGGAGCUCACACUGAGCCACACUGCCCAAAUUAAAACCCUACUUUUUACCAACUGCUGCCUGUGUCUUCUUGUGCAAAUUACCUAACCUCUCUGUGCCUAAGACUCAUUUUCUGUAAAAUCAGAAU
Molecule: long non-coding RNA, 3710 nt
Organism: Acinonyx jubatus (cheetah)
Lineage: Eukaryota; Metazoa; Chordata; Mammalia; Carnivora; Felidae
Exons: 3
Source: RefSeq, a predicted model, not a curated record